UUUAUUAAAAAUUUUGAAGAUAAUCUUUUGGGGAUAAUAGAGGCACUUCUUCUCAUGUUUGAAUAUUGCAAAAAUAUAUUUGUGGUAUCAAACAAGUUUCUAAGGCUAGAAGGUAAAUUCAUUUUGACUAUUCUCUAUUUUCACCAGCUACAAGGUAGAUUAUAUUUAUCAGAUAUGUUAGGAAUCUCAUUAUUGGAGUUCCAACUUAUAAGCAACUUAUUUGUAAUUGUCAUAUUGUUAUGUGGUAAUAACUAACCCGAUGUGAUAGUUAUAGAUAAAUUAUCGCACCAAUUAGCUCAUAAUUCACUCUCGAAUGAAAAAUGUUGC
This 327-nucleotide long non-coding RNA is filed under the name Citrus sinensis (sweet orange). Its description in RNAcentral is "long non-coding RNA (CSIN_LNC001002)". Lineage: Eukaryota; Viridiplantae; Streptophyta; Magnoliopsida; Sapindales; Rutaceae. The record is from RNAcentral.